AUGGAAUACAACCCCGAAAUUCUCUGCUGGAAUGUGCGUGGCCUCAACAACCCGGCGAAGAGGAAGGCGGUGAAGGACUUUGUGGCCACGGUGGAAGUUAACUUAGUGUGCCUUCAGGAGACUAAAUUAGAUGUAAUGGAUCACUUUAUGAUAUUAGAAUGUCUAGGCCGGUCUUUUGACGGCUCCGUGUACUUGCCGGCGAUGAAGACCCGUGGAGGGAUUCUAUUGGCGUGGGACACCACUAUUCUUACGGUGGAUAACGUGCAGUUCGACACUAACUUUCUGACGGCAAGGGUACACGCCAAGGAUGGCUCGUCCUAG
RNAcentral lists this ribosomal RNA (321 nucleotides) under Triticum aestivum (bread wheat). Its description in RNAcentral is "partial small subunit ribosomal RNA". Lineage: Eukaryota; Viridiplantae; Streptophyta; Magnoliopsida; Poales; Poaceae. The record is from RNAcentral.